CGGCGGCCCAUGGGCAGCAGACGCUGGUGUCACCACAGUUCGUCAUUGUUCUCCCAACUUUGAACAGUGCUGACAUCUCAGCAUAGGAAUGUGGCAAUCUGCUGGAGUGAUAAACCAAGGUCUCUAGGUUCAAGGAUUCUGUCCCUCUGUCUGUUUGUGACAAGUGUCAAUAACUGAGACGAGAAAUGUCUGAAAAAUGGUGGUCUGGUCUGAAGGUCU
Molecule: long non-coding RNA, 219 nt
Organism: Bufo gargarizans (Asiatic toad)
Lineage: Eukaryota; Metazoa; Chordata; Amphibia; Anura; Bufonidae
Exons: 3
Source: RefSeq, a predicted model, not a curated record